CGGGGUGUAGCUCAGCCUGGUAGAGCGCCGCGUUUGGGACGCGGAAGUCGCUGGUUCGAGUCCGGCCACCCCGA
Molecule: transfer RNA, 74 nt
Filed under: Gaiellaceae bacterium
Lineage: Bacteria; Bacillati; Actinomycetota; Thermoleophilia; Gaiellales; Gaiellaceae
Also listed under: 2 other names
Description: tRNA-Pro
Rfam family: tRNA
About the family: Transfer RNA (tRNA) molecules are approximately 80 nucleotides in length. Their secondary structure includes four short double-helical elements and three loops (D, anti-codon, and T loops). Further hydrogen bonds mediate the characteristic L-shaped molecular structure. tRNAs have two regions of fundamental functional importance: the anti-codon, which is responsible for specific mRNA codon recognition, and the 3' end, to which the tRNAs corresponding amino acid is attached (by aminoacyl-tRNA synthetases). tRNAs cope with the degeneracy of the genetic code in two manners: having more than one tRNA (with a specific anti-codon) for a particular amino acid; and 'wobble' base-pairing, i.e. permitting non-standard base-pairing at the 3rd anti-codon position.
Source: RNAcentral